AUGGAGUCGUUUUGGCAAUUCAAUGGCUUGGCUUCCAACUUUGUAUACCAUCCAACCAAAAUUCGAUUUGAACCAACUCAUAUUGUAAUUUGUUACAAGAGACCUGAUGAGAGAAGAAAUUUUGAUACAGUAAAUGGUAAAGUAAAUUCUCUCAACAAUUUGAACUCAAAGGAUUCUCAUUUAAUGGGUUCCAUGAUGGGUGGGACUAUCUCAAAUUAAACUUGGUCUGGUAUAUAUCCUAGAGAUUGGGGGAUUUAUAGAUAGCUUGUAAAUCACAACAAUAGUAAUAUUCCCCCUUCAACACCAAUAUGGGAUAUAUGCUAGCGAUUAGAUUACAAAAAUAUAACAGUUGAACUUUAGAUAAACAUGAAAAUCCGAGAACUUGUAGCCCAAAAUCAUAUCCCCUAUUGGAUUUCAUUGAACAUGCAAAGGGAGAUUCUCACUAUAGUUAUCUUAAUUGGUGCAAUAAGAUAUUUUCCAAGCAUCUUAUUUACUAUGAUGGCUUCAAGUUAAGAGAAUAUUACAGAGGGAGUUGCGGAAGGAACAGAGCUGCACAGGGAGUAUGGGUUAUGAAGUCGUAGAGGAAGAGAGUGAAUUAGAUUGUUGGGAAAUAGACAUGAAAUCAAAUUAAAAAAGAGAGAUAAUCGAAAAAAUAAUUAAGAAUGAGAGAGAGAGAGAGAGAGAGAGAGAGAUAGAGAGAGGAGUUUUAGAAGUUUGUGUCAUGGAGGGCAGUGGAUUAUUGUUUUACCUAUUACAUGAACAUGGGACAACUGUUAUCCCCACAGUAUCUAGCACUGAUCUAGCCCUAGAUUAUUUAUUUAUUUAUUGCUUUAGAUGCUAGCCUUGCCUUUUUUCUAUGUUACUUAUCUGAUUUUUUGUGCUUUAGGAUGAUCUUGAUAGUCCUCCUUGCUAUCCUGAAAUAGAAGAGAUUCCUGAACCAGAAGAGUUGUCCUUUUUUCAGUGGCUUUCUCCUCCAUCUUCUCCACUACGUUGGGAGUCCCCGCCAUUCUCUCCUUUAGCAUUGCCACUUGAGGUGGUUGAAUUUGUGUUGAGGGAAGGAAAUGAUUGA
This 1069-nucleotide long non-coding RNA is filed under the name Prunus dulcis (almond). The record is from RNAcentral. Lineage: Eukaryota; Viridiplantae; Streptophyta; Magnoliopsida; Rosales; Rosaceae.